ACAAGCGGUGGAGUAUGUGGUUUAAUUCGAUGCAACGCGAAGAACCUUACCUGGUCUUGACAUCCCGGAGACCCUUAGGAAACUAGGGGUGCUUCCAUCUGGAAGAAUCUGGAGACAGGUGCUGCAUGGCUGUCGUCAGCUCGUGUCGUGAGAUGUUGGGUUAAGUCCCGCAACGAGCGCAACCCUUGCCUUUAGUUGCCAACAGUUCGGCUGGGCACUCUAAAGGGACUGCCGGUGUUAAACCGGAGGAAGGUGGGGAUGACGUCAAGUCCUCAUGGCCUUUAUGACCAGGGCUACACACGUACUACAAUGGCCGAUACAAAGGGCAGCGACACUGCGAGGUGAAGCCAAUCCCGUAAAAUCGGUCUCAGUCCGGAUUGGAGUCUGCAACUCGACUCCAUGAAGUUGGAAUCGCUAGUAAUCGUGGAUCAGCAUGCCACGGUGAAUACGUUCCCGGGCCUU
RNAcentral lists this ribosomal RNA (462 nucleotides) under uncultured Desulfobulbus sp. RNAcentral describes it as "bacterial SSU rRNA". It matches the Rfam family "Bacterial small subunit ribosomal RNA", at positions 925 to 1382 of the family's 1533-position model. The record is from RNAcentral. Lineage: Bacteria; Pseudomonadati; Thermodesulfobacteriota; Desulfobulbia; Desulfobulbales; Desulfobulbaceae.